CCCAUAUGGGUGCUGGUGCUUGAAGGUGAAGCAUUAGUCUGUUGAGCCAUGGAACCAACCCCAUCCUAUCUUCUAUGCAGCGUGGCUAUUGUAUUUCUUCUUCAUAAGACAUAUAAUUUAUGCCCUAAGAAGUUUACUUGACUUGAUCUGCCGCCUAGAAAGUGAACUUGUGUUUUGUUCACUGCUGCACUCCAGUUCCUAGGCUGUUCAACGGUACAUAGUAGUGUUCAAAAAGUAGUGCAUAUGCAGGAUGCCUUUGGUGUAGUAGCUGAGACAUCACUUGGAACACCCAUGUCUCAUAUCAGAGUGCCUGAGUUUGAGUCCAAGCUCUACCCCCAAUUCCAGUUUGUUGCUGAUGCACACCUAAGGAGGCAGCUGGUUCUGGCUUAGGCACCUGGCCAUCCCUGCCACUCAUACAUGAGAUCUUCAGUAAGGACCUGUGCCAGGUUUGACUUGACCCAGACCUAGCUGUUUUGGGAAAUUGGGGAGUGAACCAGUGGAAGGACUGUCUUUCUGUCUCUGCUUGUCAAAUAAAAUGGAAAAAAUGUGAGGCAAAAAGAAAUAAUGGUUAUAAAAGAAUGGUAAGAAUGAUUGAGCAAAUGAAUGAGGAAAGCAUUGUUCUAAACUCUGGCCGUUUUGUGUCAUUGAUUGUUGAGUUGUGGAAAUCAUUGGUUCAGAUCUCUAGCAGGGAUUCUCUAAUGCUACAGUGAAAUACCUAAGGCUGGAUACUUACACAAGAAAGAUGUGCUUGGGCUUUUGUAAGAACCAACUUUCCCUAGAACUCUCUGGUAGACCAUCAUACCAAAGACCUAAGGUUCUCCCAGUUUGUCCCAUCUCUGCAGGGACUGGCCACCUCCCAGCAUUGCCACAGGAGGACCAAGCCUCCCACACAAGAACCUGCAGCUGCCAAACCACUUCCAAAUCAGAACUCACUCGAGCACUGUAUUAACCAUUCUUAUAGCAUAAAAGGUGGCAGAGUUACCUGUGGUUUCUGAGGUCUGAUUACCAAGUGGCACUGUGUUAGAAAUAGCAGGCACGUCUAUUCUGGGUAUCAGCGAAGAAAAUAACCAUUUAUUUUUGCCAUGAAGAUGGGAAUCUAUGUAUGAUUACCUCAUUCCAAGGGGAAAAUAGGGCUGCAGUUCCUUUUUCGCUUUUUCCCAACAGUUGUGCUCAUGGCUUUGUUCUGAGGUAGGGGUGACAGGCAGGGUGAUUUGUUAGCAACACAGGCAGGUAAGGGAGUUGCUAGUGAAGGACAGUGGAGGACUCGGCUUUUAAAAGAAGGAAAGACAUCUUUUCCUAUUCUUGGUAUGAGUUUAAGGUUCAUACCACUUCCCCUGCUAGCCCUGGCCCAGCACCUGAUCCACUGAGCAGGAUGGGUAGCCAGACCCAGGUGGUUGUCUGGCCUGACAAAUCUUCUAGGAGUACCCUCUUUUGCUCAGUUAGUUCCUAGCACAGUAGGUACAUAAAAUGUCCAGCAGUGUUCUAUCAGGCAUGUUUGGAGGGCUGAGCUGAAUAGGCAAGCCAGGGAAUUGGUCCUCACAAUGCCUUUUGUCUUGGCUUUGUGUACAUGAUGAGGAGUCGCUCUGAGCAGCUUUCAGUAACUGGAAAAAUCUGUGUGAGCCCCUCCACCUGCUUCCUGUCACAGUCCUGCUGGGACCCUGUUGUCCCAGGAAGGCAGAUUAGAGGUGGUGAGUAGAUGCAGUUAUCUGGAUACCUGGUACCCAGAAGCAGGAGACACUUCUGAAUUGCUGAAGAUGCAUCUGCAGAGCUAGAAAGCACUGGGC
This is a long non-coding RNA of Ochotona curzoniae (black-lipped pika), 1784 nucleotides long. RefSeq lists it as uncharacterized. The transcript is spliced from 2 exons. Lineage: Eukaryota; Metazoa; Chordata; Mammalia; Lagomorpha; Ochotonidae. The record is from RefSeq and is a predicted model, not a curated record.